This 571-nucleotide RNase P RNA is filed under the name Patescibacteria group bacterium. RNAcentral describes it as "RNase P RNA component class A". It matches the Rfam family "Bacterial RNase P class A". From Rfam's summary of the family: Ribonuclease P (RNase P) is a ubiquitous endoribonuclease, found in archaea, bacteria and eukarya as well as chloroplasts and mitochondria. Its best characterised activity is the generation of mature 5'-ends of tRNAs by cleaving the 5'-leader elements of precursor-tRNAs. Cellular RNase Ps are ribonucleoproteins. The record is from RNAcentral.
CAAAAACCUAUGACUAUUCCUAUUGCCUAUAACCUUGUUACCUUCGACUUAUUUAAAAGAGCGGGGAGGAAAGUCCGAACACCCAUAUGACUUUUGUUAUAUGAAGUAGGCAGUUGUUAACGGCAACCGUUCCGAGCAAUUGGAAUAGGGAAAGUGCCACAGAGACGAUACUAGCCGCGCAUAGCGCGGAAAUUCUAAAACCAAAAUUCCAAAUUCCAAACAAAUUCAAAAUAUCUAAAGUUAUUUUGUCAUUCUGUCCGCCAGCUGGCGGAUCAGGAUGACAAAUGUUUGAUUUUGGUUAUUUGUUAUUUUGUAUUUAGUGCUUCCGCGUUGUGUGCGGCAAAAGGUGAAAAGUUGAAUGAUGUUUUAGAUCGUUUAACGAUCUAAAGCUACAUUCUUUCUUUGUCGGUGACGGCAAAUGAUGGUAAACCCUGCCUGGUGCAAGAACAAAUUCCGAGCAAUCGGGAAAAAAGUAGUUCGCAUGACUUUGCCAGUGAUGGCAAAGCUAGAUAGAUGAUUGUCGCCUUGGAUUUAUUCAAGGAACAGAAUUCGGCUUAUUGCUUGUUGCCUU